GAUAAACGCUGGCGGCGUGCCUAACACAUGCAAGUCGAACGCCCUUACGCAACGUAAGGGAGGUGGCGGACGGGUGAGGAACACGUGGGUGAUCUGCCUUGAGGUGAGGAAGUACCGGCGAGAAAUCGCCGACAAUACCGCAUACGUUCGCAAGUAACAAAGUCGCAAGACGCCUUGAGGAUGAGCCUGCGUCCGAUUAGCUAGGUU
This 207-nucleotide ribosomal RNA is filed under the name uncultured bacterium. RNAcentral's name for it is "partial 16S ribosomal RNA". It matches the Rfam family "Bacterial small subunit ribosomal RNA", at positions 28 to 251 of the family's 1533-position model. The record is from RNAcentral.